AUAUAUAUAUAUAUCCCUGCUUCUUCUUUUUCAACCUUGCUCUUACUUCCCCCAACAUCACCAUGGCACCAGUCGUCUCUCUCUAAAAAAACAAAUCUUAUCUGCUCAAUUGAAAAGGAUGGGCAUUGAAUUAGUAUUACUCGCUUUUAGCCAAUUUAUUCGGUCAAAAUUGAUUCGGUCAAACACGAGCUUUAUAAACAAUCUUCGAUGUCAGUCAUUUAAAACCCCUCUUCAUCCCCAAUUGCAGCCUUCGAGUCCACGCCCUCCAUAACCACCAUAUUCAAGCUAAUAGAUAUGAAGCAACUCAUGUCUUCUCUUCCCUUAUCUCAUUUCCAAUCCCACCGACGUGUUCCGGCCUCUCUCUAAAAUCCCAAAAUUCUGCUCAUAUUGCUCUCAUAUCUCUUCCAUCAUCUCUUUCUCUUUUCAGCAACCCAACGAUUGCAAACCCUUAAAAUCCGUCGGAGCCUAACGAUCUACGUACUCAUGCCAUACAGAGAUCCAGAAAUCAGGAAGAAUUCGCAAAAGGUAUCACUCCAGACUUUAUCUUUGUAUGUAUGUGUGUCGAUUUUGUGUGUUUUAAAGUCCAAUUUUUGGUUUGGAUGUGGAGUGGCAACAGGCAUCCCUGCUACUCUAUCUCUACUCAAAAGAGGUAAAAUACCCUGAUUACCCUUUCAAUCUCUUUUCAUAUGCGUGGGUGUUUGUAGAAACAGAACCAAAUCUUUUUAAUUUCAGAUUUCAUAGAUCGAACAAUGGCUUAUUUUCCCAAGGUUGUUCUUCACAUUUUCUUAUCUGAAUUGGCCUCCGAGCUACUGCUUGUGCCUUUGUCAUCGAUGCAACAACCUCCACCUACCGUUUCCAACCCGGGUAAAAGUUUUGACUAACGGUGAUGAAUACUUGAAGCUUGAUGCAGCCGUGCCACCAUCACCAUUAAGAACUUUAAUGGUUUUGGUUUUUUAUUUGCAUCUUGACAGAUGUUAUGUGCUGGUGUUCUUCAGGAACAUAAACUUAUAUUAGCCUAUUUUUGAUUUACUGGAGGAUGUCUACAUAUAUGGUAUGUCAACAAAAAUAGAAUUUGCACGUUUGAUGUUAAUUCAAAUAGAAUGAUCUUUGUGUGCAGGAGAUUGGCUGUGAAUAUCUGCUUCACCUCCAUUCUCAGACCCCACGACCAUUGGAAAUAGGAUCCUGGGGUUGUCAAUUAUGCUUCUAAUGCUGGUGGCAUCCUGGAUGAAAGUGGUCAACACUAUCAGGUGGAAUCAACAAAAACUUUACCACUUUUUGGCUUGAUUUCAAGUGCUCUUGAAGCAGCAAAAAAAAAAAUCCUUUGUACUGGAUGGUUGGUAUUUUUGAAAAAUGUACAAAGUAAAGUCUUGCGUUUCAUUCUCACUAUGAGUUCUCCACUAAAGGCAAGCCUUAGGUUGGGUA
This is a non-coding RNA of Lactuca sativa (garden lettuce), 1422 nucleotides long. NCBI's taxonomy places the organism in Eukaryota, Viridiplantae, Streptophyta, Magnoliopsida, Asterales, Asteraceae. The record is from RefSeq and is a predicted model, not a curated record.